GGGGCUGAUUCUGGAUUCGACGGGAUUUGCGAAACCCAAGGUGCAUGCCGAGGGGCGGUUGGCCUCGUAAAAAGCCGCAAAAAAAUAGUCGCAAACGACGAAACCUACGCUUUAGCAGCUUAAUAACCUGCUUAGAGCCCUCUCUCCCUAGCCUCCGCUCUUAGGACGGGGAUCAAGAGAGGUCAAACCCAAAAGAGAUCGCGCGGAUGCCCUGCCUGGGGUUGAAGCGUUAAAACGAAUCAGGCUAGUCUGGUAGUGGCGUGUCCGUCCG
RNAcentral lists this transfer-messenger RNA (271 nucleotides) under Salmonella enterica. RNAcentral describes it as "partial transfer-messenger RNA". It matches the Rfam family "transfer-messenger RNA", at positions 1 to 277 of the family's 374-position model. Rfam says of the family: Bacterial tmRNA, also known as 10Sa RNA or SsrA, is named for its dual tRNA and mRNA-like properties. Its role is to liberate the mRNA from a stalled ribosome. To accomplish this part of the tmRNA is used as a reading frame that ends in a translation stop signal. Lineage: Bacteria; Pseudomonadati; Pseudomonadota; Gammaproteobacteria; Enterobacterales; Enterobacteriaceae. The record is from RNAcentral.